GCGGCGUGCUUACACAUGCAAGUCGAACGAUGAACCACUUCGGUGGGGAUUAGUGGCGAACGGGUGAGUAACACGUGGGCAAUCUGCCCUGCACUCUGGGACAAGCCCUGGAAACGGGGUCUAAUACCGGAUACUGAUCCUCGCAGGCAUCUGCGAGGUUCGAAAGCUCCGGCGGUGCAGGAUGAGCCCGCGGCCUAUCAGCUAGUUGGUGAGGUAACGGCUCACCAAGGCGACGACGGGUAGCCGGCCUGAGAGGGCGACCGGCCACACUGGGACUGAGACACGGCCCAGACUCCUACGGGAGGCAGCAGUGGGGAAUAUUGCACAAUGGGCGAAAGCCUGAUGCAGCGACGCCGCGUGAGGGAUGACGGCCUUCGGGUUGUAAACCUCUUUCAGCAGGGAAGAAGCGAAAGUGACGGUACCUGCAGAAGAAGCGCCGGCUAACUACGUGCCAGCAGCCGCGGUAAUACGUAGGGCGCAAGCGUUGUCCGGAAUUAUUGGGCGUAAAGAGCUCGUAGGCGGCUUGUCACGUCGGUUGUGAAAGCCCGGGGCUUAACCCCGGGUCUGCAGUCGAUACGGGCAGGCUAGAGUUCGGUAGGGGAGAUCGGAAUUCCUGGUGUAGCGGUGAAAUGCGCAGAUAUCAGGAGGAACACCGGUGGCGAAGGCGGAUCUCUGGGCCGAUACUGACGCUGAGGAGCGAAAGCGUGGGGAGCGAACAGGAUUAGAUACCCUGGUAGUCCACGCCGUAAACGGUGGGCACUAGGUGUGGGCAACAUUCCACGUUGUCCGUGCCGCAGCUAACGCAUUAAGUGCCCCGCCUGGGGAGUACGGCCGCAAGGCUAAAACUCAAAGGAAUUGACGGGCGCCCGCACAAGCGGCGGAGCAUGUGGCUUAAUUCGACGCAACGCGAAGAACCUUACCAAGGCUUGACAUACACCGGAAAACCCUGGAGACAGG
RNAcentral lists this ribosomal RNA (957 nucleotides) under Streptomyces sp. Its description in RNAcentral is "bacterial SSU rRNA". It matches the Rfam family "Bacterial small subunit ribosomal RNA", at positions 39 to 1010 of the family's 1533-position model. The record is from RNAcentral. Lineage: Bacteria; Bacillati; Actinomycetota; Actinomycetes; Kitasatosporales; Streptomycetaceae.